Molecule: ribosomal RNA, 320 nt
Filed under: uncultured bacterium
Lineage: Bacteria
Description: bacterial SSU rRNA
Rfam family: Bacterial small subunit ribosomal RNA
Source: RNAcentral
GACGAACGCUGGCGGCAUGCCUAAUACAUGCAAGUCGAGCGGAGUUAUGAUGGAGCUUGCUCCUGAUUAACUUAGCGGCGGACGGGUGAGUAACACGUAGGCAACCUGCCCUCAAGACUGGGAUAACUACCGGAAACGGUAGCUAAUACCGGAUAAUUUCUUUCCUCUCCUGAAGAGAGAAUGAAAGGCGGAGCAAUCUGCUACUUGGGGAUGGGCCUGCGGCGCAUUAGCUAGUUGGUGGGGUAACGGCCCACCAAGGCGACGAUGCGUAGCCGACCUGAGAGGGUGAACGGCCACACUGGGACUGAGACACGGCCCAG